RNAcentral lists this ribosomal RNA (301 nucleotides) under uncultured bacterium. RNAcentral describes it as "partial 16S ribosomal RNA". It matches the Rfam family "Bacterial small subunit ribosomal RNA", at positions 509 to 807 of the family's 1533-position model. The record is from RNAcentral.
CAGUAGCCACGGUAAUACGAAGGGUGCAAGCGUUACUCGGAAUUACUGGGCGUAAAGCGUGCGUAGGUGGUGGUUUAAGUCCGUUGUGAAAGCCCUGGGCUCAACCUGGGAAUUGCAGUGGAUACUGGGUCACUAGAGUGUGGUAGAGGAUAGUGGAAUUUCCGGUGUAGCAGUGAAAUGCGUAGAGAUCGGAAGGAACAUCUGUGGCGAAGGCGACUAUCUGGGCCAACACUGACACUGAGGCACGAAAGCGUGGGGAGCAAACAGGAUUAGAUACCCCAGUAGUCCCUGUCUCUUAUAC